Molecule: unclassified non-coding RNA, 337 nt
Filed under: uncultured fungus
Lineage: Eukaryota; Fungi
Description: sequence contains ITS1
Rfam family: 5.8S ribosomal RNA (bases 1-106)
Source: RNAcentral
AAAUUGCGCGUCGACAUGUGAACUGCAGGACACAUGAACAUCGACGUUUCGAACGCACAUUGCGGUCCAUGGAUUCCGUUCCCGGGCCACGUCUGGCUGAGGGUCGGCUACGUAUACUGAAGCGCCCAGGCGUUUCGGAGACUUGGGAGCGUCGUGUCGGGGCGCGAGCCCCGGCGCGUCUCCUUAAAUGCGCUUUGCGCAGCGCGCCCGUCGCCCUGGCGGUUCGCAUACCGGUACUGUGUUUCUCGGUAGCGUGCACAGCCGACUGGGCGCACGCGGCGCGCGUACACUUUCGUACAACGACCUCAGAGCAGGCGAGACUACCCGCUGAAUUUAA